Molecule: long non-coding RNA, 1988 nt
Organism: Xyrauchen texanus (razorback sucker)
Lineage: Eukaryota; Metazoa; Chordata; Actinopteri; Cypriniformes; Catostomidae
Exons: 3
Source: RefSeq, a predicted model, not a curated record
AGAUGAAGUAGAGGAAAACUUAUGUAAUCACUCAACGUUGAGAAAAAAAUUAUGGAAUCACCUUGAAAUUUGCAUUUCUAAAGAAAUGACUGGUCACCGUCAUGGAUAAGGCUGCAAAGGUUCUGGCGCUGGGGUUCUGAAACUGGUGGUGCUGCGGGUCUGCAGCUGGAUAUGUCUCGCCGGAGGGGUAACGUUACCGAGGGUCAUCGCUUUCGGCUUCAAAAAUUAUUAUCAAGAUGGCAAAAGACGAACAGCGCUUUGCAAGACAUGCAACGUUAAGAUCGCGGACAGCCAGACGACAACCUCCAAUUUCGUCCGCCAUUUGAAGAGCCAUUCUGCCCAUCAUCUCACUCCCUGCCUGAAUCUGAUGUGUGAUCAUUGCACCACAGCUAGUGCUAGGUUGGCUGUCUCCACCUUCAUUUGAUGAAAAAAAAGUACAUUUGUAUUACCUUAUUAAAUGUAUGCAUCAUCUUUCAUGUCAAAUUCUUACAUUUGAUCAAUAAAUUCAGUUAUAAUAAGACACUAUAGGGCUAUUACCCAUCAAAUAAAAAAAUGUGCACUGCAAUUACAACUGCAAUAAAUAAUGUUAUGAGAUUGAUGUUUUAAAUAAAUGUUUGAAUAUAAAAAAAAAGCAAUACUUAAACAUUAAACUAAACCGCCAAUAGGUGGCAGCAAGUGACCGUCUUAAUUAGUGAGUCAUUCAUACAAAAGAUUCGUUCAAAACGCUGAAUCAUUCAGUAACAAAACACCACGCUGCUGUAGCUUUCCUUUAGAACUAUUUUAGUCGGGGAAAUAGAACAAAAACAGUUAAUAUGGUUUGUGUCUAAAAUGUAAGUAACUUAAUAAUAAAUAUUAACUACGCUACUUGUUUAUUGAACAAUAAAUUCAAUGUAACAUUUUCAAUCGUGAUAAUAUUCAGCAAAACAGCUCCCUUAGUUGUGUUAUGUUAAACUAAAUCAUAUGUUAUAAAUAAAAAAAACAACAAUUAGAAUUUUUACCUCAGUACAUUUCUUCUGUGAGUUUUCUGUGUGCACUCAUUUGUUUUGAUUUCUCCACGAAUGUAACGUUAGACGGGCGCUACCGCUUACAUUUGCUAGCAGUUCAAUACUAAGUUAACGAAGAUUUUUUUUAUUGUUAUUAAUAUUAAUAAUAAUUUUAUUGAACGACGAAUUCAAAAAUGAUCACUGGUAAAGGUAGUAAUAUAAAAUAAUAAUAAUUAAAAAAAAAUAAAAACGCUGGCUGGCAGCAGGCCAACUUAGUCGCCAGGCCAACGGGAAUGUCCCGGCGCUCCCGAUGGCCAGUCCGGGCCUGCUGGACAUAAUUAUAAGACAUUAUUAUGAGAAUGGAUGUCUUAAUUAUGGGAAAUGUUCUCAUUAUUAUGAAAUACUAAGUCAUUAUGACAUAAUAAGUCAUAAUUAUGAGAUAGUAUCUUAUGAGAUCUAAAAUCAUAACUAUGAGCUACAACGUCAUUAUUAUUAGGCAUGACAUAUAUGACUUUCAAGUGUCGGAGGUGUGGUCAGGACAAAAACUUAAUCAUUUUAAGCCAUUUAACUUAAAGUUAUUCACACAUUCAAAUUGGUCUACAAAUUAGUAGAAUAUACUUACAUUUUAUAGUAAUGCAAUCAAACUUCAAUAAUUUAAGUACACUGUAAUUAAAUUGUUUAAUUGGAUAUUAAAUCUGGGCUUACAGUGUAGAAAAGACAAAUGAAAACCAGCACUAACACCUAAACAGAAGACAAUAAGGCUACAGUGGGCUAAAGAGAAGCAACCAUGGACUGUGUAUGAUUAGAUGAAAGUGGCGGUAUGAGUGGUGAUGGCGUAGUGGGCUGAAGCACAUAACUGUUAAUAAGAAGGUCGAUGGUUCGAUCCCCACAGCCACCACCACUGUGUCCUUGAGCAAGACACUUAACUCCAGGUUGCUUCUGGGGGAUUGUCCCUGUAAUAAGUGCACUGUAAGUCGCUUUGGAUAAAAGUGUCUGCCAAAUGCA